This 253-nucleotide ribosomal RNA is filed under the name uncultured bacterium. RNAcentral describes it as "partial 16S ribosomal RNA". It matches the Rfam family "Bacterial small subunit ribosomal RNA", at positions 524 to 776 of the family's 1533-position model. The record is from RNAcentral.
UACGUAGGGUCCGAGCGUUGUCCGGAGUUACUGGGCGUAAAGCGCGCGCAGGCGGCGGUGUUGGCCCGGCGUGAAAGCCCCCGGCUUAACCGGGGAGGGUCGUCGGGUACCGCACCGCUUGAGGGCGGUAGGGGCUGGUGGAAUGCCUGGUGUAGUGGUGAAAUGCGUAGAGAUCAGGCGGAACACCCGUGGCGAAGGCGGCCAGCUGGGCCGUCCCUGACGCUGAGGCGCGAAGGCGUGGGGAGCGAACGGG